GAUUCUGUAACUAAUUUCAGGAACCACUUGAAGGCAAAAUCAUCACAAAGCUUCCAUCUUCAAUCUCCCACAACGGGAUUCGCCUCACUGUCAAUGGAUCAGUCACCUUACAGGUCCGUGGUGGAUCAGCUGGAGUGAUCGAGUCUUUAUAUGGUGUUCUCAAGCCUAUCCCAAUUGUGUUAGGUUUAAUGUUUGUGGGAGGCCUAGUUUUGGCAUAUGCUUCAGAACACCUGGGGAUUGGAUCAUUUUUGAGAGGUUUUGAAGAGCAUAUGUUUCUUAUGCUGAUUUUCUUAGGCUUGUAAGGAAAGCUAAUUUUUUUUUUGAGCAAUUGACUUAGAGGAUGCUCAACAUGCUGAUUUUCUUAGGCUUUGUAAGGAAAGCUUAUUUUUUUUUGUUGACAUGAAAUGUAUGUUUCUAGGAAGGAUGGUGAACAAUGUUAUGUUAUUG
Molecule: non-coding RNA, 447 nt
Organism: Camellia sinensis
Lineage: Eukaryota; Viridiplantae; Streptophyta; Magnoliopsida; Ericales; Theaceae
Source: RefSeq, a predicted model, not a curated record